CCUACGGGCGGCAGCAGUGGGGAAUAUUGGACAAUGGGGGCAACCCUGAUCCAGCCAUGCCGCGUGUGUGAAGAAGGCCCUUGGGUUGUAAAGCACUUUCAGUGAGGAAGAACGCCUGGUGGUUAAUACCCAUCAGGAAAGACAUCACUCACAGAAGAAGCACCGGCUAACUCCGUGCCAGCAGCCGCGGUAAUACGGAGGGUGCGAGCGUUAAUCGGAAUUACUGGGCGUAAAGCGCGCGUAGGUGGCUUGAUAAGCCGGUUGUGAAAGCCCCGGGCUCAACCUGGGAACGGCAUCCGGAACUGUCAAGCUAGAGUGCAGGAGAGGAAGGUAGAAUUCCCGGUGUAGCGGUGAAAUGCGUAGAGAUCGGGAGGAAUACCAGUGGCGAAGGCGGCCUUCUGGACUGACACUGACACUGAGGUGCGAAAGCGUGGGUAGCAAACAGGAUUAGAUACCCCGGUAGUC
This 465-nucleotide ribosomal RNA is filed under the name Vreelandella stevensii. Its description in RNAcentral is "partial 16S ribosomal RNA". It matches the Rfam family "Bacterial small subunit ribosomal RNA", at positions 338 to 795 of the family's 1533-position model. Lineage: Bacteria; Pseudomonadati; Pseudomonadota; Gammaproteobacteria; Oceanospirillales; Halomonadaceae. The record is from RNAcentral.